CAGGUGGCGCCACUCACGGGGAGUUUUAUUUCCAGAAAAGCCCUUCCCAGAAAACAGGGCAUGUACGGUGCCCCCUGGAGUUGUGUGAGGAUACCCUACUAGUUUGGAUUCAACAAACAAUUGAGAUGAGCAUGGUGGCCUAGAGACGAUCUCUCUUCUGUUGGUUCCUCACAAAGGUGAAUGAUUUCCUGCUGCAAAGACUGUGAGGCAUCAUUUUUCCAAUUAGAAGUGUUGCUUUGUCAUUGGACUACAUAUAUCUGGAUACCAUAAUGAUAAUGGACUUGCUUCCCUUUUAAUUUCAUGAUUGAGCAUUUAUAUCCUGAGUUAGACCCAGUCUGACAAAGGCACUGACAUGGAGGAGCUCAUGGUCUGAUGGGGAUAACAGGAACUCUGCAUCAAAUCGCUUUCCGUGAAUUUGUUUCCAUGCAGUGGUGUGGAAGAGCAAUUAUAAAAUUAAUUCAGAGCAGGAAUGUUUUAUAUCCUGAAUGAAGAAGAAAGGGGAGAUUGGAGGUGCUACCUUAAUGUGUGCCUGGAUCCAUCAUUCCUGAACAUGCUGCUGUUUUAUUUCAUUCUGAUGUGGUGUUUCUCCCAGCUCCUAAGCUCCUUUUGGCAUAUAUCUUUUUGCAGAACUGGAAAAAAUUUGAAAUGAGAAAAAAUGAGUUGUGGCUGUUUUUUGUUUUGGGUUUUGUUUUGGUAGAAAUGGGGUUUUAGCAUAUUUCCCAAGCUGGUCUGGAGCUCCUGAGCUCAAGGGAGCCGCUGGCCUCAGCCUCCCAAAGUGCUGGGAUUACAGGCAUGAGCCGCCACACCCAGCCUAAGAAAUGGGUUUUGUUUUGAGAUUUCCACAACCACACUAGAAGUGGCUGACAUCCUGGGAGUGAGUGUGGAAACUUCAAGACUGGCUUUUGAGAACCUGAGUCUAGGGCGUGUAUCGGGUGCUUCUUAUGUUUUCGUGCUCACUUGUGUGGGAAGACAAGAUAUGAGACAAAAAGACACACAUAGCUGCAGGCACACACGUACAUGUGUAUACAUAUUGCUGGUUUAGAAGGCCUUGAGCCUUUGGGAUACUGAGGCCAGAGGAUCACUUGAGCCUGGGAGUUUGAAACCAGCUUGCGC
RNAcentral lists this long non-coding RNA (1113 nucleotides) under Homo sapiens (human). RNAcentral's name for it is "HSALNT0251821". Lineage: Eukaryota; Metazoa; Chordata; Mammalia; Primates; Hominidae. The record is from RNAcentral.